This 537-nucleotide ribosomal RNA is filed under the name uncultured bacterium. Its description in RNAcentral is "bacterial SSU rRNA". It matches the Rfam family "Bacterial small subunit ribosomal RNA", at positions 102 to 674 of the family's 1533-position model. The record is from RNAcentral.
ACGGGAGAGUAACACGUGGGAACGUACCUUUCAGUUCGGAACAACCAAGGGAAACUUUGGCUAAUACCGGAUACGCCCGUAAGGGGAAAGAUUUAUCGCUGAAAGAUCGGCCCGCGUCUGAUUAGCUAGUUGGUGGGGUAACGGCCCACCAAGGCGACGAUCAGUAGCUGGUCUGAGAGGAUGAUCAGCCUCACUGGGACUGAGACACGGCCCAGACUCCUACGGGAGGCAGCAGUGGGGAAUAUUGGACAAUGGGCGCAAGCCUGAUCCAGCCAUGCCGCGUGGAUGAUGAAGGCCCUAGGGUUGUAAAGUCCUUUCGACGGGGAAGAUAAUGACGGUACCCGUAGAAGAAGCCCCGGCUAACUUCGUGCCAGCAGCCGCGGUAAUACGAAGGGGGCUAGCGUUGCUCGGAAUCACUGGGCGUAAAGCGCACGUAGGCGGCUUUUUAAGUCAGGGGUGAAAUCCCGGAGCUCAACUCCGGAACUGCCUUUGAUACUGAGAAGCUCGAGUUCGGGAGAGGUGAGUGGAACUGCGAGU